This 253-nucleotide ribosomal RNA is filed under the name uncultured bacterium. Its description in RNAcentral is "partial 16S ribosomal RNA". It matches the Rfam family "Bacterial small subunit ribosomal RNA", at positions 524 to 776 of the family's 1533-position model. The record is from RNAcentral.
UACGGAGGGUGCAAGCGUUAAUCGGAAUUACUGGGCGUAAAGCGCACGUAGGUGGUUUGCUAAGUCAACUGUUAAAUCUUGAGGCUCAACCUCAAAAUCGCAGUCGAAACUAUUAGGCUAGAGUAUAGUAGGGGUAAAGGGAAUUUCCAGUGGAGCGGUGAAAUGCGUAGAGAUUGGAAAGAACACCGAUGGCGAAGGCACUUUACUGGGCUAUUACUAACACUCAGAGACGAAAGCUAGGGUAGCAAAUGGG